This 2093-nucleotide long non-coding RNA is filed under the name Zea mays. RNAcentral describes it as "long non-coding RNA (ZMAY_LNC000469)". The record is from RNAcentral. Lineage: Eukaryota; Viridiplantae; Streptophyta; Magnoliopsida; Poales; Poaceae.
CAAUUAAAUUUAAUUCCAUAAGUUACUCAUGUGAGGGUCUGAGUCGUUCAUGACCGUGAGCACGGCUGAUAUACCAGUUUUACACUCUGCAGAGGUUGCACAUCUUUAUCCACAAGUCAUGUUACCCAUCUGCCAUGGGGUUGUACGGGCCCCAUACACAUCUACCAAGGAAGCAAGGCAGGGUAACACUAUGAGGCCUUUACAAAGUUCCAUUAGCUUCAGAAAACUCGCUACGGUUUCUAAGGAGCACAAUAUAGAAAUCCCCCGUCUAAAAUGCCAUCUCAGCAAGAUCAACCUGAGAACCUCCCUAUACCAAGAACUCCCCUACCGCCCUUGCCCCUAUCGGGUAAGGUAGUCCUCCACUAGCUUUCCUAAUUAGUUAGCCAAGGGCGUCCCAUACCACCCUUGUGGUAGCACUGUUUUCCCAGGUGGUUCUCCCUGUUCCAAUUAACAAAAUGAUCUUAUCAUGAAUAGUACAAAACUCAUUUGUAAUAAAAGCAUGAUCACGAAUAAUGUGUAUCUUAACACCCAAAACCACAUAAAGCAAUAGCAUAUACUACCCAAAAGUUCAGUGGUAAACAAGGUGUAAAGAUGACCAAACUAGGGUGACCUAUUGGGUCCCAUCAAAAUUAACCUAGCAUAUCAUAAUGAUUAACAGGAACAUUAUUGGGUAAAGAAAAGUGAUCAAGGGCAAAACUUGCCUUCAACGAGCUCCUACUCAGUAUUUUCCACCUGAUGAGUACCGGGAUCCUCGGUUGCUUGCUCGUCUAAUCGCAACAAUAUAAACAAACAUGGUAUAGGAGAUUUUAACAUCACACCAAACAUGAAAACAUAUUGUAUAAUAAUGUUAUACGCAUCGUAAUUAGAUCGUGGGUUUGAGAAUCACUAAAUUCAGAGUUACGAUUAAAGAGUUAUGAUUUUCCGAAGUUUUAAAUGUUAAGUAUAGAAUAAAUUAAGUGCAUAAUUCUAACCUAUAUUUUAUGAUGAAACAGGGUUACCAUGUGAUAAACAACAUUAAUAUGAAUUUAAUGCAACUGGAAUGAAUAAAAAAGGAUUUAAAAUGAAUUUCUUAUAAAUUAAACAAGGUUCUGGAAUUAUUUCUAUACUAAAAAUUAUUUUAUGAAUUACUUUAUUCCAUUUAUUCACUCCCUGGGCUGUGACCAUAAAUACAGGGGAACCUAGGGUCUAAAUUACAAUUUACAGGGACCUAGUCAUAAUUUCUUUUGAACUAAUCUGGACGGUGGGUUUAUUCCCUAAAAGAUCGAGGACUCUAAUGCAAAACGUAGCCCGCGAAGGGGUAUCUUUUGUUUCUGGCCGAUGGAUCAAAGAUGUGCAUCCCAGAUUAAGUCGGCUCAAUAUGCGAACCGCUAUCCACACGUGACCCUCUGAUCCCAUAUCUACGACCACGAUUUAAUGAAGUACGAUUGUAAGUCCAUUCCAUCUGAUCCCGAUCGGACGCACCUGAGCAAUCCGAACGAAAUGAUACGAGUGAUCUAAUCACACCCACAUACCCCGAGAUCUACGGUUCACACGGCGACACCCUUUGGUUAAAUAUCGAUGGCUCAUCCACUAAUCAAAGGGGAAGAUUUCUUGGAUCAACCGUUUACAAGAGGUCUGGCCCUAGCCUUUGAUCAAGGGAUCAACGGUCCACAGAGAUCCCCCUAGCUCCCGACGCCGGCGGCGAGAGCUCACCAAUUCCCGCACGGCGGUGCCAUUGCAGCGCAUGGUCCUACGCCUCCCUAGCGUUCCUCCUCCACUGAAAACCUUAAAUAUGUAAUGCAGAAGAUAAAGUGGAUUGGGUCUCAAGGUUUUACCGAUGGAUGAGGCGGCGACUGUUCCGAUUCACAGCGUUACACUUCCCUUCGCCUCCGAUGGGCUUGCGCAGGUACCCGCGCACACCCGAUAACCGGUGAACACCUCUGGUGAGGCACGGUAGGGCACAACGAACCUUUCCUCCCCCACGACAGAGACCCCGGCGUCGUUGGCAUGGUUUCCCUGCACCAACCCGAGGUCUUUCUCUCUCUCCCACGCUAUCUUUGCUCCGGCGAACUCGCGAGGUCCCUCUACGGUGGUGGUCGCGAGGAGCAGCAAGG